CCUACGGGAGGCAGCAGUGGGGAAUAUUGCACAAUGGGGGAAACCCUGAUGCAGCGACGCCGCGUGAAGGAAGAAGUAUUUCGGUAUGUAAACUUCUAUCAGCAGGGAAGAAAAUGACGGUACCUGACUAAGAAGCCCCGGCUAACUACGUGCCAGCAGCCGCGGUAAUACGUAGGGGGCAAGCGUUAUCCGGAUUUACUGGGUGUAAAGGGAGCGUAGGCGGUUUAGCAAGUCAGAAGUGAAAGCCCGGGGCUCAACUGCGGGACUGCUUUUGAAACUGUUGAACUGGAGUGCAGGAGAGGUAAGUGGAAGUCGUGGUGUAGCGGUGAAAUGCGUAGAUAGUAGGAGGAACACCAGGGGCGAAGGCGGCUUACUGGACUGUAAAUGACGCUGAGGCUCGAAAGCGUGGGGAGCAAACAGGAUUAGAUACCCCAGUAGUC
RNAcentral lists this ribosomal RNA (440 nucleotides) under uncultured bacterium. RNAcentral describes it as "partial 16S ribosomal RNA". It matches the Rfam family "Bacterial small subunit ribosomal RNA", at positions 338 to 795 of the family's 1533-position model. The record is from RNAcentral.